Triticum aestivum (bread wheat) is the source of this 125-nucleotide non-coding RNA. The record is from Rfam. Lineage: Eukaryota; Viridiplantae; Streptophyta; Magnoliopsida; Poales; Poaceae.
AUUGUACUCCCUCCGUCUAGAAAUACUUGUCGGAGAAAUAGAUAUAUCUAGACGUAUUUUAAUUCUACAUACAUUCAUUUUUAUUCAUUUUUUCAAAAAGUAUUUCCGGACGGAGGGAGUAACAC